GAGAGGCCGGGAGCUCGGGCGGCCGGACGGAGGAGGGACGAGGCAGCGCGCGGGGGAGCGCGCCCUCGCCCUGGCCCCUCCGAGUCUUCGACUAGUCCUUGCAACUUCUUGGCGUGAUAAUCGGGAAAAGUUGGCCCGUGCCAGGUUUCCGACAGGGAUCAAACAGGCCUUCUCCCCUCCUUUUCCCGAAAGGAGCUUCGGGAGGAAACAGUGAUGGAGGAGGAACUGAGAUGAGGAACAACCCGGAGAACCCUCACCCACCCGCGCAGAGGAAAAUGCAUGGCACAUUAUUAAUGAGACUUGAGAAGGGGGCAUCUCUCUGUGAUCUGUCUGUCUACGGACCUCAUUCAUUCUCCUCUCUCUUCCACAAAGAGAACUCACAAAGGCCUGUGACCAGAGGGUGCUUAAAAUUUCAGAGACGAAUGUGAAUAUUACUUUCAAAUCUCCAACAGGAAACUAUGCCAAAGUCACAUCCAUCUUGAGAAGGCCUCAGAGGAGCUGUAAGGAAGCUGAGGGGACCUGCUCUCAAGAGGCAUCUCCAGGAGAGAGACAGAAACCCAAACAGAUGUGACUGUGAUGAGUAAAAAUGAGAGAACUCAGACAGCCUAAUCGGGAGCAGCCUCAGUCCAUUCUGAGCAGAAAGGAAUUGGCUGUCUUUCUGAAAUUCUGAAAAUGAGAAAUUUCAAACACCCUUCCUAUGUGAAGAUAAGCUCACUCAGAAUCACUUGCCAGUUUGUUCUCCUUCUACACUAACAGUUCACCAAAAUAUCUGAGUGGGAAGUUACCUGGUCAAGGACUGAUGAUGAGCUCAAAGAAAGGAAAUGUUGGCAGAUUCAAAUGCACCAACGUCGAGUAACACUGGGAUCUCCCCAUUCACUAAGUAAGGCAGCAGAGAGAGUAUUUACGAGAUGAGGUAGCCAAGUACCACCUUUUGUGGUCUAAUUAUGUACAAAGGCUCAGAGAAACAACUGGAUAGAAAUACAAAUGAGGAGUUUAGAGAAAAGCUAACAGAAUAGGCUCUUUUCAGCCAGCCAGGCACAGUGGCUCACACCUGUAAUCCCAGCAUUUUGGGAAGCUGAGGCAGAAGGAUCCCUUGAGCCCAGGAGUUCCAGGCUGCAGCAAGCUAUGAUCCUGCCACUGCAUUCCACCCUGGGUGACAGAGUAAGACCCUGCCUCUAAAAAAAAGAAAAAUAAGAAAAAAGAAAGAAAAGAAA
Molecule: long non-coding RNA, 1214 nt
Filed under: Homo sapiens (human)
Lineage: Eukaryota; Metazoa; Chordata; Mammalia; Primates; Hominidae
Description: HSALNT0286830
Source: RNAcentral